RNAcentral lists this ribosomal RNA (253 nucleotides) under uncultured bacterium. Its description in RNAcentral is "partial 16S ribosomal RNA". It matches the Rfam family "Bacterial small subunit ribosomal RNA", at positions 524 to 776 of the family's 1533-position model. The record is from RNAcentral.
UACGAAGGGGGCUAGCGUUGUUCGGAGUUACUGGGCGUAAAGGGCGCGUAGGCGGUGUGUCAAGUCAGGCGUGAAAGCCCCGGGCUCAACCUGGGAACAGCGCUUGAGACUGGCACGCUCGAGUUCGGGAGAGGAUGGUGGAAUUCCCAGUGUAGAGGUGAAAUUCGUAGAUAUUGGGAAGAACACCGAUGGCGAAGGCAGCCAUCUGGACCGACACUGACGCUGAGGCGCGAAAGCGUGGGGAGCAAACAGG